Molecule: long non-coding RNA, 500 nt
Organism: Musa acuminata AAA Group (dessert banana)
Lineage: Eukaryota; Viridiplantae; Streptophyta; Magnoliopsida; Zingiberales; Musaceae
Exons: 3
Source: RefSeq, a predicted model, not a curated record
CGUUGUUGCACUCGAUCCACGGGGUGUAACCGAUCGCGUCGCUGAUGGCGCUCACGACGCUCUUCAAGCUGUAAUCGCCACCAUCGGGCUGAAUCCCUGCAGCAGCAGCUUCCAUCUCAGACGACCACCACAAGGCUUCGCUUGAGAGCUGCUUGGAAGUAGCCGUGCUGGUCGAGGACGGACUCGGAGCAGGUGCCGUGCUUCUCCCACUCGUGGGUCCAGAACUGGGUGCCGUCGCUGCUUGGGCACGCUAGGGUCGGCCACUUCUGUCGCAUGGUACUCAACAGGUCCCUCACCUGCAACCAAAGCAACAAGACGGCUCCAUAGGAUGCUACACUUGCACGAACCAAAAACACAAAAAUGAGUAUCCCAAUUCUCCUAAUCAUCACAGGAUCAUGAGGAGAGGAGGAGAAUAAGAUAGGAUUAGGCACCUUGGAAGCAUCGUAAGGGUUGUUGGGAUCACAGUUAGACGGAUAGGAACCAUCGUUGUAGUUGGGCCA